Molecule: ribosomal RNA, 492 nt
Filed under: uncultured bacterium
Lineage: Bacteria
Description: partial 16S ribosomal RNA
Rfam family: Bacterial small subunit ribosomal RNA
Source: RNAcentral
AGUGAACGCUGGCGGUAGGCCUAACACAUGCAAGUCGAACGGCAGCACAGUAAGAGCUUGCUCUUACGGGUGGCGAGUGGCGGACGGGUGAGGAAUACAUCGGAAUCUACUUUUUCGUGGGGGAUAACGUAGGGAAACUUACGCUAAUACCGCAUACGCCCUACGGGUGAAAGCAGGGGAUCUUCGGACCUUGCGCGAUUGAAUGAGCCGAUGUCGGAUUAGCUAGUUGGCGGGGUAAAGGCCCACCAAGGCGACGAUCCGUAGCUGGUCUGAGAGGAUGAUCAGCCACACUGGAACUGAGACACGGUCCAGACUCCUACGGGAGGCAGCAGUGGGGAAUAUUGGACAAUGGGCGCAAGCCUGAUCCAGCCAUACCGCGUGGGUGAAGAAGGCCUUCGGGUUGUAAAGCCCUUUUGUUGGGAAAGAAAAGCAGCAGGUUAAUACCCCGCUGUUCUGACGGUACCAAAAGAAUAAGCACCGGCUAACUUCGUG